Molecule: non-coding RNA, 1394 nt
Organism: Cicer arietinum (chickpea)
Lineage: Eukaryota; Viridiplantae; Streptophyta; Magnoliopsida; Fabales; Fabaceae
Source: RefSeq, a predicted model, not a curated record
GGUGAAAAAUAAAGCUAGAGUUGAGGGCUCAAUUUUUUCAUCUUACCUACAUCGUGAAACAACACACUUUUGUUCUCAUUAUUUUAACAAUGAAACGUUGUCACCAGUUAACGGAAGAAACAAAACUUAUAUUGUUAUACGUCACCCACAUGCUUUAUCAGUUUUUUGCUUGUCUGGUCAUCAUGCUUGUAGGGAUUUUCCGAUUUUCUAGCCAAGUGACAAAGUAUUUAACAAACAUUCAUCCCUCCCAUUCUCAGAAAACUCAUGAAAACAAAAACAAAAUUGCAAUAAAAUGGCAAAAAUGAGGAAAACAAAUGAAUUGAUGACAGUGAAAAGAGAGAACUAAACUUGAAAUAUGAGAAGGAGGAUAACUUUGGAGAUGUGUGAAGGAAGAAACUUUUGGGGACUGUUGUGAGAAAACAAAGAGAAUAUUCUUUUAUUUCUCUUGCGGUUUUAGAAAUUGAGACGAAAGGAAACGCUGUUUUUAUAUUUGUAUUCGUUGUAGUGGAAGUUAUUUUGGGGUUUAGCAUUUUCCUUCCUUUUUGAUAGAAAGAAAAAGAAAAAGAAAAAGAAAAAGGGCUUUGCAGACUUGUGUGGAAUUGGAUUUGAAAGUGCCAAUUUCUCACCGCCCAAUUCCAAGUGGUGUCGUUAUGUAUUGUCUUCCUCCUUCACACUCACUCUUCUUCACAAUGAAUAAUCAGAGGUCCAUGUCUCUCCUUUAGUUUAUAGGUGAUGAAGGACUCGUUCCCUCUCCACAAGAGGAACAAAAAAGGAAAAACGUUAUUGACAACCUCAAACAGAUAGUUUCAUCAUGGAUCAAAGAGGUUGCACGACGACAUCGGUUGCCAAAACACCACAUUGCUCUUACUUCUGCCACCAUAUUGACAUGUGGAUCUUAUGGCCUUCGACUUCACACCUUAGUGUCUGACGUUGAUGCUUUGUGUGUUGCUCCUUUCUUUGCCUCCAUUGCAGUAAGUCAAUACCUAUCAUUUUCUUUUAAGCCUCUCUACUACUACUAUUACUACUAUUUAUUUUUCUUCCUUUUUAUGGAUCAGGAAGACUUUUUUGUUCUGCUUCACCACAUGCUCAAAACUAGACAUGAAGUAUCACAGAUUCACUGUGUAAAGACUGUUAAAGUCUCGUUUAUGCGAUUUAAAGUCCCUCUUAUGCCCUUUAAUUUAAAGUGUAUAAGUGGUACGAAAGAGUACAUAGUCCACAAUGAAUGGGUUUAAUAACACAACAAAAUGGGUUGCCAGACCAGACCUGGGUCUGAUUAAUUUAAAUUUUAGGUUUUUAUCGAACUAGAAUGACAACAAUUGAACAUUCACCCUUUUGGUUCUCUCUCUUGUCUUUCUUUAAAAUACCACAAGUAAUUGCAUCGCCUUUCAGUUGUC